AUGUGGCCUAUAGAUGUACAACGAGUACUCACAAUACCUAUCUUGCAACAUGAUAUGCCAGAUUUCGUCGCUUGGAAUUUCACACAAAAUGAUCAUGAAUUGUGUAUGAUAGGCAUCCAAAAUGUACAUGGAAUGAUUGCCAUAUCAGCCUGGUACAUGUGGUGGGAAAGGCGUAAAUUGAUUCACAAGGAGACAACUCAAAUUGCACACCAGAUUUCAAUGGGAAUCCGAGCUCUUAUGGCCACUUUUGUUACCGCUUCCUCACAAAAGGCCUCCAUGAAAAAAGGGGGAUGGUCUUGCCCUCCGGUAGGGUUUGUUAAACUUAACGUUGAUGCUUCUUUUGACCAUGACUUACUCAGGGGUACGAUGGGAGCAGCCUUAAGAGACGACAAAGGUAGAUUUAUUGCUGGGGGUAAUGGUAAGAUUGACUGGUACGGAGAUGUUCUGAUGGCUGAAGCUCUGGCCCUAAAAUUUGGUUCGUCCCUAGCACAAAGGACAGGAUGCAAUUGCAUUAUUAUUAACUUGGAGAACAUGGAGGUGAUUGAUACCAUGACAGAAGGAGGAUGA
RNAcentral lists this ribosomal RNA (567 nucleotides) under Triticum aestivum (bread wheat). RNAcentral's name for it is "partial small subunit ribosomal RNA". Lineage: Eukaryota; Viridiplantae; Streptophyta; Magnoliopsida; Poales; Poaceae. The record is from RNAcentral.